This 1464-nucleotide long non-coding RNA is filed under the name Fukomys damarensis (Damara mole-rat). RNAcentral describes it as "lncRNA (ENSFDAG00000030373.1)". Lineage: Eukaryota; Metazoa; Chordata; Mammalia; Rodentia; Bathyergidae. The record is from RNAcentral.
AUGCUCCUCCCUCCCCUUCCUUCCUCCGUUGUGCAGACUGCGAUGGCGCAUUUUCACUGCAAACGCAGCGUGGCCACAUUUCCUAGGUGCCCCCCGCCGCAGCCCCGAAGCCCACCUCACUUCUUACUACCCAGGAUCCCUAGCUCCUUGAACCGCGCCCAGCCCAGGGGACCUUGGCCGAAAAAUCUGCGGAAGAUUUUGAACCAGGUAGAAGAUGGCUGGAUAUUCUUUGCUGGAACCCUGGGACCCAGAGAUUAACUCAUCCUACAUGAGCAUUUGCUUCUGAUGUGGUUCACAUCUCUGCAAAGAUGUUAAUUUACAGAAAAUUGGUAGCAAUGCAGAUCUUCGUUUCCAUGGCUCUGUAAAUGAUUCUGGUCCAAGGCUACUCAAAUGAGCUUGUCAGGUAGAAAAUAUAAAGCUCUGUAAGACAAAUUCUCAUUUGACCUAGUUGUAACUUCUUCCUGGUCCCUUGUUUAUUAAAGAAGUAGGUAAAAUAUUUGCCUUGCAUUCAUUUUCCAUCUGCAUAGGGGUCAUGAUUUUAUCCUUUCCUGAAAAUCAUCCUCUGAUAGCCUUCUGUGUUAAUAUUUUCUCUGCCACUUGCUUAUGUCUAGAUGGUCAACAAAGUGGUAAAUCGGGCUCUCAUCUGUGGUACUUGCUAAUGUCUCUGGCUGAUGAUAAGGGAAGUGUUCCAAGAUGUGUUAAAUUUAAUCAAAGUGCUGAGGGUGGGGGAGAAAAAAGAGAAGUUUACCAGCUAACAGCAGUGGGCCAAACCAACCAAAAAUGAUUUCAUGUUCCUGAAAGUGCGUUGAAAUCUGGACUUGAACCCUAGUUGCAUCCUUGAGUCCUAAUUCACUGGUGCCUGACUACCAGGCACCAUUGUAUCAGCUUACAGCCCCAGUCAACCCACAAAAAACAAGGGCUUUCUUUAUGGACUCUUCUCCUAUCCUGGCCUCUCCCUGCUUUGUGUUAUCCAUAGCUGUGGCACUCUUACCCAUGGCCAUCAUAGGUUCAGCGUGAACAGUGUAUUCCUUUCUGUCCUGGCUUCUUUUGAAUGUCUUUCCCCCAUGUGCUCCUGCCAUGUGAUGCCUUCAGCCAUAUCAAGGCAUUGUGGCCCUUGUCAAGUGUGACUGCCUAGACUUGGGCCUAUUUUGCCUCCAAAACUGUGAGCUGAAUAAACCAUUUAUCUUUGUAAAGCACCUACCACUGGUAUUUUGUCAUUGCCACCCCAAAUGGACCUAGAUAGGUGGGGAUGGAGUGAGGCUGCUGGAUAAGUUGUCUUUAGAAGACCGUCGUGUUUUGGAGUUUUGCAAGCUCAGACUAUUUUCAAAGACUCAGGGUUUUCUCACACCAGCGUCACACCAUCUUAACAUUCUUUCUGAAGUUUCAAGUUCACAAACUCAAGACAUCUUUUAGUCUCUGGGUCCAAUGUUCAAUUGCUAUGGAGUCCAGAAGCACAAAUUGGUU